This is a long non-coding RNA of Rhipicephalus sanguineus (brown dog tick), 512 nucleotides long. RefSeq lists it as uncharacterized. The transcript is spliced from 3 exons. The record is from RefSeq and is a predicted model, not a curated record. NCBI's taxonomy places the organism in Eukaryota, Metazoa, Arthropoda, Arachnida, Ixodida, Ixodidae.
GUGGCGAACGACGCACUAUAUAACGCAGGAGAAAUUCAAAUCACCGAUGUACUGCAGGAAAAGGCGCACGUAGCAUUUUCAUCCACUAUGACUCCGACUAGGAUGCUAGCACACACGCUACUCGUUUUCUUUGUCGUUUUACUGGUCAAGCAGUCAAUCGACUAUUCACUGCACACCACCAAUGCUGUCGAUGUAGAGGUAUAUUGCGGCCAAAAGUGCACUUAUACAACGGAAGAGGAGAACAACGAGUGUCAGGAGAACUGCACAUGCCGACCUGAGAGUACUGACUUAUACGGAAACGGUGUUCGAGGUCCAGGAUUCUGCAUGCGUCAAUACACCGAGGGCGACAAACCAUAAACAACAAUUGGUGGACGGUGAUUCUAUGCUAGAAUGGAUGGACGGAAAACGUUAUUAUGAUCCCUCGGAACGCGCUCUAGCACCUUGAGGGCCGCUCCCGCGUCAGAACAGGAAGAUGAAGUCUCUCUGCUGCAGUAAAAAGUAAAAUUGUUGUG